Molecule: ribosomal RNA, 253 nt
Filed under: uncultured bacterium
Lineage: Bacteria
Description: partial 16S ribosomal RNA
Rfam family: Bacterial small subunit ribosomal RNA
Source: RNAcentral
UACGGAGGGGGCUAGCGUUGUUCGGAAUUACUGGGCGUAAAGCGCACGUAGGCGGCUUUGCAAGUUAGAGGUGAAAGCCCGGGGCUCAACUCCGGAAUUGCCUUUAAAACUGCAUCGCUAGAAUUGUGGAGAGGUAAGUGGAAUUCCGAGUGUAGAGGUGAAAUUCGUAGAUAUUCGGAAGAACACCAGUGGCGAAGGCGACUUACUGGCUCAUUACUGACGCUCAGGCGCGAUAGUGUGGGGAUCAUACAGG